RNAcentral lists this ribosomal RNA (531 nucleotides) under uncultured bacterium. RNAcentral's name for it is "bacterial SSU rRNA". It matches the Rfam family "Bacterial small subunit ribosomal RNA", at positions 777 to 1314 of the family's 1533-position model. The record is from RNAcentral.
AAUAGAUACCCUGGUAGUCCACGCCGUAAACGAUGGAUACUAGCUGUUCGGUCGCAAGAUUGAGUGGCUAAGCGAAAGUGAUAAGUAUCCCACCUGGGGAGUACGAACGCAAGUUUGAAACUCAAAGGAAUUGACGGGGGCCCGCACAAGCGGUGGAGCAUGUGGUUUAAUUCGAUGAUACGCGAGGAACCUUACCGAGGCUUAAAUGUAUAUUGACAGGACUGGAAACAGUUUUUUCUUCGGACAAUUUACAGGGUGCUGCAUGGUUGUCGUCAGCUCGUGCCGUGAGGUGUCAGGUUAAGUCCUAUAACGAGCGCAACCCCUGUUGUUAGUUGCUAGCGAGUCAAGUCGGGAACUCUAACAAGACUGCCAGUGUAAACUGUGAGGAAGGUGGGGAUGACGUCAAAUCAUCACGGCCCUUACGCCUUGGGCUACACACGUGCUACAAUGGCCGGUACAGAGAGCAGCCACUGCGCGAGCAGGAGCGAAUCUAUAAAACCGGUCACAGUUCGGAUCGGAGUCUGCAACUCG